GCGAGGGUAGCCAAGCCAGGUCAAAGGCGAGAGACUCAAGAUCUCUUCCAGAAGUGGUUCGCCGGUUCAAAUCCGGCCCCUCGCA
RNAcentral lists this transfer RNA (85 nucleotides) under Methanobacteriota archaeon. RNAcentral describes it as "Euryarchaeota archaeon (hot springs metagenome) tRNA-Leu". It matches the Rfam family "tRNA". Rfam says of the family: Transfer RNA (tRNA) molecules are approximately 80 nucleotides in length. Their secondary structure includes four short double-helical elements and three loops (D, anti-codon, and T loops). Lineage: Archaea; Methanobacteriati; Methanobacteriota. The record is from RNAcentral.